ACAUGAUUAUUUCAAGUAUGCAUUGUGAUGAUCUAUGAAUUAAUUUCUAUUAUACAUUAUUCAUUAUCUCAUUUCCAUUUUCAUAUGAUGUGUCUGAUAAUUCGUGAACUGUGAUUCCAUUCAUUCAUCUGUGAAUUUAUUAUAUUGUCAUCCAAUUUAUCUAUGUUCUGUUACAGGCUCUGAAAAUUGAUGAAAUGGAACAAAUUAUUUGGACAAGACACUAGAAAAAUUCUACUCGGUCGGUUUUGUAAUCAUACCUCAAGAUACUUGCGAGAUCUUCGUCUGCACUGCACUAGCAUUUCAGUCGUCGCCGCCGCACCACGAUCACUCGGCGGCAUCCACAUCUAGUGGUGGUGGAUCUACAUGCAAGGAGCAUGCGCACUACCACUGGAUGUGGAUGCUGGAUGAGUUGGGCAACCUCGGCCGCUCCAGUACCAACUGCCCGACCAGGUGUUGCUAACCACAUUCGGCUACUUGCUGUCGGUUUCAGGGCAUCAGCUCUGUUGCUUGGUAUGGAUUGUAAGACACAGAAGAAGACGCAUUUAGAUGUUUUUGGAUCUUGAAUCUUGAUGCUCACAGAAAAGCAAGUCAACCAGACAGGCUCUGAAAAUUGAUGAAAUGGAA
Molecule: long non-coding RNA, 624 nt
Organism: Nilaparvata lugens (brown planthopper)
Lineage: Eukaryota; Metazoa; Arthropoda; Insecta; Hemiptera; Delphacidae
Exons: 4
Source: RefSeq, a predicted model, not a curated record